RNAcentral lists this long non-coding RNA (4952 nucleotides) under Eucalyptus grandis. Its description in RNAcentral is "long non-coding RNA (EGRA_LNC002344)". The record is from RNAcentral. Lineage: Eukaryota; Viridiplantae; Streptophyta; Magnoliopsida; Myrtales; Myrtaceae.
AAUGUAUAAUUAUUUCUUUUUCAGUUCUAUUCUGGGCCAGCUUCAAGGAGAUAAACUUUAGAGUUUCAAUCAGAGCCAUUACCUCCGCUUGCUCGGCCGAUCUAACCUCCACAGAUUUAGUAAAACCAUCAAUAAUUCUUCGCAGAUUGUCCCUGCAAAUACAAGCUACAACUGCUGUGAAGGGGGAAAGUCGAGUUUGAGAUCCGGUAAAAGAGGCAUAUUCCUCCCUAUUCUGCUCUGAGGUCGAACUCUGUUCUUGGCUAACUUCAGAGUUUUCUUUUAGCUAAGUUGUUUUCCCCUUGUCUCCAUUGUCAGGCAUGCAAGGCACAGAGGUGAUUUCAAUUUCUUCCCACUCUACGGCAUCCACACCUAUUUCAAGAAUGCUGGACAGAUCCAGCGAAUAUUUGUUCUUUCUUUGUAUUUGGAAGAAACACUUGUCUUGCCAUCCCUGUUGGGUCACAACGCAGCUUCGUUUGGAGGGAGAUGUCGCUGCAAGGUGCCUAAGAUUCCACUAGUCUCUUCUCUGUUUAGAUCUGGGUUGCUUUGCUGAUUUCUUGCUUCUUCUCUUUCUUUCGACUUCAAAUCUGGCCUCACCCUUUGCUCUGCAUUGUAGCUGCUGUAUGAGUUUAGUUCUGUGUCAGAGGGGACAUUUUUUGGGUCUUGCUUUUUAUUUGUUGAUUGAUUAUUUCGUCUGGGCAACCCAUAGGGUAGAGAUAAGGCAUAUUUAUUGAUGUUUUCACCUUGCUUCUUCUUUGCAAUAGCUAGGCCCGUGGGUUUUUGAAUUACCUCAUAUACCAUUUUGUGUGGCCGUUCUAUCAUCACCCGUUCACCAACAUCCGAGUUAGUUAUUGUUGGCGAUAUGGCUGAGGCCUCUGGGUUGCAAGUAGAGCUAGCCAAUUGUAUGUUUCCAUGCAGGUGGAGCUGGCCUUCUUCAAUUUCCGUCCAUGAGACAUCAAGUGUUGGGGAGAAGGAGGUAUAGGAGUUGGGAAACGAGUCUUGAAAUUCUUCGCUUGUUGAUUUUGGUUCCAAGGUUGAUGCUGAAAGAUCUUCUAUACUAUACAAUGAGACCUCUUGAUUUGAUUUAAUUGUGAUAUUUCUGUGCAAGUAGGCCUGAAGGACUAUGUUGAUUUUGAGAACACCGGGCUUCGGGGGUUGCCAUUUGUUUUGUAAGUUGGCUUCUUUCUUCUGGUUUUUCGAUUUGGGAUUCCAAGUGGCAAAGCUGUCUUGUGAGGUGAUGGCUCUAAAAAGAGUGUGAUGGAAAUUGAGAGGACUUUUCCUGAAAAUAUGAUGAUUUUGACCCUUCCAUAUGCACCAAAGUACAUUCGCAAGUAGUUCAAAUUCUUGAGAUGUUCUAGAGCUUGUGUGCACUUUGUAUAACCAUUCAUCAAAGCGGGUCAAGCCUACUCGAUUCACUUCAAUUUGCAGGGAUGGCUCAGUCCAUAGCUGCGUGAUCCAAAGGCAUAGAAGAAAUGUGUGUUCUAUUGUCUCCGGUUCCAAACCACAUAAUGGAAAUAUAGGCGCAAGUACUAUUUUCCUUCUAUACAAGUUCUCCAUCGUAGGUAAAGCAUUUUGACAGGCACUCCAUAGAAAGAACUUUAUUUUGGGUUGUAUAGUCGCAUUCCAUAUUUGUUUCCAUAAUUCGGGGCUGACCUGGUAGGAUGUUGUUGGCAGUUGAUCUUGAAUAGCCAUUGUAUUCUUUCUAUGCAGCAAAUAUCCACUUUUCACCAUAUACCUUCCCGAUUUAUUACUCAACCAUAUCAAUUUAUCUUCCGUUGUUGGAAGUUCGAAAGGGGUAGCUAGAAUUUCCGUCAUUGUAUUAUGAUCAAACAUAGAUCGCAAUAAAUCUUCUUUCCACACAGCAUUUUCAAAGUCUAUCAACUCUACAACCUUGGAAGGUUCAUUUCUUGCCGCAGGUCCUCCGAUUACACCCAUUUUCAGCCACUUAUCUGUUUUGAUUGAGAUUUUCUGACCAUUUCCCACAGCCCACAUUACUUGAGGGGCGAUCACUUCUCUCCCAGCUAAUAGGCUUUGCCAUCCCCAAGAUGGGCGCGAUCCUUUUCCUGCUUGCCAAAAGGUACAAUUUGGGAAGUACAGGUCCUUCAUAAUUUGGCUUACUUGAUUGUUUGGGUGAUGAGAAAGGCGCCAAGCUUGUUUUCCUAACAUAGCCAUAUUGAAAGUGGAAAGAUCCUUGAAACCGAGACCUCCUUCCUUUUUUGUGAGCUUGAGAAGUUCCCAUUUUCUCCAAUGAAGACCCUUCGCUUUAUUAUUGUUUCUCCACUAGAAGUUAGCAAUCUUCUUUUCUAUAUCUCUGAUAAUAGAUAAUGGGAUUUUAAAAUGGACAUAGCAUACUGGGGUAUAGCUUGCACAACUGAUUUGAGAAGUGUUUCCUUACCCACUCUUGAUAACAAGUUUUCCUUCCAACUUUCUAGCUUCAUAUUUAUUUUAGUUAGAAUCCACGUGAACACUUCUUUUUUGGAUGCACCCCAGUCCGAAGGGAUUCCUAGAUAUUUCCCAGUUUUCAUAAUAAUUGGAACUCUCAGCUCAUACGCCAUAUUUCUCCGUGGUUGUUCUAGACAGCCCUUAGUAAAGAAUAUCCCUGAUUUAUUGCGGUUGACAGCUUGACCUGAUGCAUAACAAUACUGAUGCAGGAUAGACGCUAAGUUUUGACAUUCCAAGAUUGUACCAUGAAAGAAAAAAAUGGAGUCAUUUGCAAAUAAUAGAUGGGAAAGAGUGGGACAAUUUCUAUUCAACCUGAUACCACAGAUUGUACCUGUUUGUAUGGCUUGCUUUAACAUGUGGGAUAGGACAUUUGCCACAAUGAUGAAUAAAUAAGGGGAUAAUGGAUCACCUUGGCGAAUUCCCCGAGUUGGCUGGAAAUAAGGCAAGGAUACACCAUUAAUCUUGAUGUUGUAGGAGACAGUUGUAACACACUGCAUGACCAUUUUAACCCAUUCUUCACAAAACCCCAUCUUCAGCAGGCAUGCUUGAAGGAAAUCCCACUCUAUCCGAUCAUACGCCUUUUGCAUAUCAAGUUUGAGGACCGCCUGGAAGUGCUGCUGUCGAUCUCGAGUUCUUAGUCUGUAAAGGACUUCCUGGACAAUAAGGAUGUUAUCCUAUAUUUGCCGUCCUUCCACAAAUGCACUAUGUUCUAGUUCAAUUAGGGCUGGUAGUAGGGGUUUCAAUCUAUUUGUGAUGAUUUUGGAAAUGAUUUUGUAGGCAAAAUUGCACAGGCUUAGGUCUAAAUUGUUCUAUUUUUUCUGGGUUUUGGAUUUUAGGGAUAAGAGUGAUUUGUGUUUGGUUAAAGGCUGGGUUUAGGGAUCCGGUCUCGAAGAAGUGUUGAAUCUCCCGAUAGAUAUCUUCUCCAAUAUCUCGCCAGUGGUGUUGAAAAAAGAUGCCAUUUAACCCAUCCGGCCCUGGAGCUUUAUUAGGUCCCAAUUGGUAUGCAGCUUCUUUAAUUUCGUCCAUAGUAACAAGUGUAGUAAGCUUUUGAUUUAUAGUUACAUCCACCAAGUUGGGAAUAUAAUCAAGGAUGGGCUGAAAGUUCCGUUGUCCCCCCAGACGUAUAUAGGUUUUUGAAAAAGUUAACAGUCAUGUCCUGAAGUGCUUCUUGAUUGCGAAUCCACUCCUCCUGAUUGUUUAAUAACAUGGAAAUUCGAUUCCGGUUUCUCCGUUGAAUAGUUGUUGCAUGGAAAAUUUUGGUAUUUUUAUCUCCCCAUUGCAACAACUUAAUUCUUGAUCUCAUGCCCCAGAACAUCUCCUCUUGUCGCCAUAGGGAUUCGAUUUCUUGGUUAAUUUGUUGAAUUCUUUGCUGAUCAUAGUCACAUUCUUGGCUGUUCAUGAAGGUCAGAAGUUUCUUUUUCAACCUUUCUAUCCUUUUAUAUGCAUUGGGAUAUCUUCUUUUACUCCACACAGCAAGUUUUGUAGCUACUAACUUUAGUUUCUCAACCAUGUUUUUACCUUGGGAUUCUUCCCAAGUUCGUUUCACAAGGCUCGUACAAUCCUCAUCUUCAGCCCAGUACCGCUUCAUACCUAAAAUCUGUUUUUUGCAAUCUGUUUUAGGAUACAGGGACAACGAAAGAGGGCUGUGAUAAGAGCCUAUUGCUGGUAGCGCUAAAACCUCCGCAGCUGGAUAAGCUAUUCUCCACUCCAAGGUACAUAAGGCUCUAUCCAACCUUUUCUUGACAUUUUUCCCACCACCUCUUCGAUUUGUCCAUGUAAAUGCGCAUCCUUUACUUUCUAGAUCGAUAAAAGAACAUGCAUGUAGGAAAUCUCUGAAAGCCGUAAGACGAUAGUUUUCUGACAACCUCUUUCCCACUUUUUCCCAAUGAUACAAAAUUUCAUUAAAGUCGCCAAUACACAGCCAAUGUAGAUGAUUGAAGAUGCUUAGUCGUUGUAUUUCUUCCCAUAAUAAUAUUCUAGCUUUAAAACAAGUUGGAGCAUACACGAAAGUGAUUCUCAUUAACUGCUUAUUUUCUAAAGUUGACAUUGCACAUUGAUAAAGUUUCUGGAAGAAGAAUCCACAACUAUGGUAACCGUUUCAUCCCAAAAGAUUGCCAAACCCUCUGAAAAACCAUCUGGAUUCUCCAAAAAAACAAUUUUGAAACUUCAAUCUACAACGCCAUUUUUGCACCAGUGGCUCUCUAUUUUUGGUUUUCAUUAAACAAAUAAUAUUAGGUCGUUCUUGAGACACUAGGGCUCUUAAAGCUCAAAUUGUCAAGAAUGAGCCCAACCCCUGACAAUUCUAACUUAUUAUUUUCAUGGCUGACCUGGUGGCUUAUUCAGGCUAGCCACCAAAGUCUAGUGCAUUGAUUUCUCCUCUUCCGAGAUAGGAAUGUCCACAAGCUGCAAUUUAUCAGUAGAAGGUGCCUUUGACGAUUGAGCACCAUACGGGCAGAAUCUCUUUCUUUUUUUCGAAGUAGGUAGUUUAGUACUUUUAAUUUUACCCUUGUUUC